Molecule: long non-coding RNA, 1890 nt
Organism: Nematostella vectensis (starlet sea anemone)
Lineage: Eukaryota; Metazoa; Cnidaria; Anthozoa; Actiniaria; Edwardsiidae
Exons: 2
Source: RefSeq, a predicted model, not a curated record
UUUUGUUUGUUUUUGCCAGAACACGCAUACGUUAUUCAAAUAAUAGUAAUAUAUGUUUAUUAUUCCCUAUUGCAGUUGAGACUGAAUUGCAGGGAGAGCGCCAACAAACUUACAGUACACACAAUAAACAAUUAACAUAUUUUACAGUUACAAAAUCGUUUAGUCUUUUGGUUUUUGUCAUCUGUGUGCGCCUCGUAGUACCCGACCUAAGACUGUAUUUGGCGGGUACUACACAUGUCCUCGAGUCCAUCGCCUGUAGGACGGGAUGCUCGGGUGGAAGGUUGGCUACAUACUGGCGGCAUAGAUUAUUGCGGCGCGUCUCAAGAGUCAGGAGACUCUGUCAGCACUGUCCGACAGUCAUUGAUUGAUAUGGUUAGCAUCAGGAAAACAGGCGCGCACUACCCAUCCCCCCUUCCCUCUCAUCCCUCUCCACCCGUGGCUAAUACAAGGAUUAGUUUGAGCAGCACCAAAAUCAGGCGCCAAAAGGUACAAUGCAAAGAGGGCAGCCACAAAUAUUUGAGCAGUCACCCUUAUAGGUACAGUACCCAAAAUAGGGAAAAAAACAUCAAUCAAUGGCUGUCAUUUUUCUAAAUGGUCUAAAGGAGCCUGGGGCAAGCGCACAAGAGACCUGUGAUAUUCUGAAAAAUGUUAGGGACUACGCUCCAUUUCCAAGAUGGAUGCCAGCAAAAUUGUAGUAAACAAGAAUUCAUUACAUGGAAAUUUCCGUCUUAUAAACCUCUAGAGAGAUAAAAACGUGAAAAAAUGAUUGAAGUGGACUCCCAAAUAUGGUAUGUAAUGCCUAAUAAGGCAAUGACCAAGCAAGCUAGAAAAACAACAGUUUUCAAAACAAGAUUGACUGAUAUGACAUAUUUUGCCACUUUAGUGGCUGCCUGCUCAAUACAGGGUGGACACUAGAAUUUUGAGCUGUAAUAUUCAUGCUGAUUUUAAGUCUUCUUUAGAAAUGUAAUGUUAUACUCACAGGGUAAUUGGCAGGCGGUGGACCACCAGGGUACCCCCCUGGGGGAGGAGCCCCUGGGUACCCCCCUGCGGGAGGAGCUCCAGGGUACCCUCCAGGAGGAGGGGCGUAUCCCUGAGGAGGUGGAGCAGGGUAGUUAGUCAAUGGGUGGUUCUGUGGGGGAAUACCUCCGCCCUCUUGAGGCACAUACUGUGGAAAAGAACAAAUAUACAUAAUUAAUUUAAACGUUGGAAAGGGUAUGUUCUUAGAACUAAGCAAAAAAUGUUGUUUUUAGUAUUUCUGUCUGCCUACCCCUUGUCUGCCUUCCUGUCAGUCUGCAGGGGCAGAUCUAGCUUUUCGCCAAAGGUGGGGUUUGGCUUAGCGACAAAGGGGUAGGGGGUAAUUUUUUGUUACAAAUGGCUUUCUGGCAGCCCAAACGGGGGUUAAACCCCCUAAACCCUCCCCCUAGAACCGCUACAGGUCUGCGUGCUUACAUGUUUUUGUUUGUCUACUUGAACAACUGACCUUUGCCUCUUACACAUGUGCGGAGAAAAGGUGCGCAGACAGAAAAAAAAUCUAAGAUUUUGAGACUCUAUCUAAAAGACUGCUUCAAGCAGUUGAGGGGCAAGGGAUACAUGCAUCCCCUGUGCCCACCCCUCGCUACAUGUCCCUCGUACUCUCUAAAACAACCUACCGGUGGUGGAGCAUAUCCUCCAGGGGGAGGCUGCUGGUAACCUCCAGGCGGUGGGUAAUACCCCCCUGGUUGCCCAGGAGCAGGGUAAUGUCCAGGGGGGGGCUGGUUGUACCCAGGGUACCCUCCUUGACCAGGCGGUUGAGUACCAGGGGGAGGUGGCUCUGACAUCUAGAACAGAGACUUAGAAAAUCAGUUAUACUACAAGCGAACCAAUAAACAAUACACAAUUCACCAAGCGAAA